Molecule: long non-coding RNA, 2892 nt
Organism: Centropristis striata (black sea bass)
Lineage: Eukaryota; Metazoa; Chordata; Actinopteri; Perciformes; Serranidae
Exons: 7
Source: RefSeq, a predicted model, not a curated record
UUUUGUGGCAGUGUGGCCUCCACUUCAAUGUCCGUGUCAUCUCUCUCUUGGAUUUCUGUGUUUGUCUAGUUGACAAAUGUGUCUGCUGCUUUUUUUACAGAUUCAAAAUCUCUUCCCAAGCUUUUCAACGUAUCUUGUGUUGAUGCCACCAUUCUGUGAGCAGAGAGGAUGUCCAAUCCUGCCGUCUGAAGGUAUUUAGACAAUGGAGAGGUAUGUUCAAAUAUGCGGAGGAAGAUUUCAGCCGUCAAGAUUGUCUCAUACUUGAACAAUGACUCUGCAUAUCCUCUGGCCAUGACACGGAUAGAUGGUUUCACUGUUGCCUGUUUCUGUAUAGCUGAUAAUGUCAACAGCACAUCAACGUACAGACCAUCUUCCGGCUUUCUGAAGGAGCCAAACACCUUCUUCAGGGCCUCAUGCUUGGCCCACCAGCGUGUCUCGCCAAUAGGAGCAAGGCGUCUACCUCUUUUUUUUCUUCCCAAACAUUCAUCCUUUGAUGAGACUCUUUGAUGAAUACCGCAAUGCCAUUGAGGAGCGCAAACAGGGACCCACUCUCAAUAACAAUCUGGGUUGUGUUUGCAAGCACCAGAUUCAGAACAUGUGCGUAGCACCAUACAUGCACCUGGUUUGGCGAUUGUACAGACAACAGUGAGGAGAAUCCUUUGUAUUGGCCUUGCAUGUUUAAUGCCCCAUCAGUUGCAUUUCCAAUGCACAUGGUCUUGCUGAGGCCCAUUUUGUCCAGAACUUCUGACAGCAUGUCGACAAAGGCCUGUCCAGUAGUUGAACUGCACUUCAGCACUGCAACAAGCCUCUCAUGAACAACAUCAGUAACAUACCUCAUAAUUAUAGAGCAUUGAUCCAGAGAGGUGAUGUCCUGCGUUGUGUCCAGUUGAACUGAAAACAUUCCUGCUUUCUUGAUAUCACUGGAGAUGUUUUCUUGAAUCAGAUGGUGAAUUGCAUCUAUCACUGAGUUGACUGUUGUUUUGGAGAGUAAAGUUACAAGGGAGCCUCUGCCUCUUGUGCCACCAGACAAAUGCAACUUUUUGCUGUUCUCAAUGCAGCUGUCCAGGUGCUCUUUUAAACAGAAAUCACACUUCCCCAGUAGAAGUACGAGUUCCAAGAAAUUACCAUGAUCAACCGUGUGGUCUUCCAGGGUAUAUGCUGCCUCAUUUUCUGACCUCCUGUAUGCAAGCCCCCUCUUCCCAAGAACCUUGAUUACAUCUAUGAUGCGCUCCAAAACCUGCCGUCUCGUUCUGACCUGCUCUCUGUGCGCCAACAUCUGACUGCCACCAAACAAACUGCUGAUAUCAGCACUGGCAGAUUUCAAGAGGUAAGCUUCAGCACAGUUCCUGUGUGGACUGCCUCUCUCAUGCUUUUCUGUGCGCUGGUGUAUAUGCCUCAAUCUGACAUUCCACUGAUGAACAGACUGCUAUCAGUUCUCUUACUGAAUGCCAUGCAGAUGAAACGAUACAGCAUGUGACGCUCUGGACAGUACGUCAGCCACUUUCUACUGGUGCCGUCUCUGCUACAGAACACUUUCUGCACCACUGGAUUGCUACUUUUUUGCUGAGGGUGGAAAUUUAAAAAAAAAUCAGUUAUUUGACUGGCAGACUCAUGGCUCUCUACAGAUGUUUCCCUCUCAGGUGAUCCUGUCUUUGGGCUGCCUGCACUGGUCUGGCUCUCUCCCUGAACCUGUCUGGUCUGGACAUUGGGAAAGCAUUUAUCAUUGGAUGGGGAAAUAACUCAAAACCACAGAAUAAUGUACAAGAUAAAAGAUUACUUCAUAUUGAACUAAAUGUUCAUGAGCAUAAAAAACACUAAUCAUGGUCACGGAUCAUGGACACAGCAAUUGAAGCCAUUCAUAGGCGCUUUUUGACACACAGCAAUCUAUAUGCUGACUUGGCAUGUCUGGAUCCCAGAAACUUCCCUCAGCUCUCCACCAGUGCUCUUCCCCAGUCUGCCCUUCAAGACUUAAGCAAGUGCUUGCAAGGAUCUGACAGCAGGGCAACCAAGGAAAAUAUGCAGGCUGAGUUGAAAAGCUUUGCACUCCAGUGGACCAGGCUGAAGGCAUCCCCAUUGGCAGAGUACAAGGCAAGAACAGUAGAAGAUGGAUCAGGUGGUGAGGAGGACAACACAGAAGAGGUUGAGGCGAUAAGGCGAGGUUGUUCUGAUAUAUUUGAGGAGUCGUUCACCCUCUGUUCUAUAUGUGGACUCAUUUGGGACCACUGUUAGAAUUUGGUUGACCACUUGAAAUGUGAGAGUUUGAGGAGUUGUUCCCCCAUCGUCCAUGUUCGAGGACUUGCUCUCUCUCUGCUUUCAUUGCACCAAAGUUUGGCUGUUGAGUCUCCUCUAGUUGACCACUUGACUUGUGAGAGUUUGAGGAGUUGUUCCCCCUCCGUCCAUUUUCAAGGACUUGCUCUCUUACUGCUUCCGCUUCACCACUUUUUGGCUACUGAGACGUCUUUGAUUUGUUGAGUUCAUUCAUUCAUCAUCUACCGUUUAUCCUGUACAAGCCAAUCACUCUGUCCCCUUUUGAAGACCUGCUUUGUCUCCUCCAUCAUUCAUUGGGCCACUUUUGGGUUCCUGAUCUUAUUUCAUGUGUUCUUCUUUCUAUGAUUCUUGAGAGAGAGAGAGAGAGAGCUUCGUCUUGACUUUGUCAUGAAUUUGAUGAGGAGUGGAGCUGGCUGGCUGCGGACGAGGAAGUAGGGCAAUAUAUACAUGUGCACAUACACAUAAAUGAGAAUGCAUAUUUUUCAGAACUGUAAUUCAUGUCUUAGACUUUUUCACACAGCUAUAGAUACAUUCCCCCCCAAUUCUCUGUUUAUGGUUUCAUAAUGACUGAGUCACUGUUAAAACAAAUGAGUUUCAGCUCUAAUGCUGCUUCUGUCUGUAAUA